UAGGGAAUAUUAGAAAUGGUCGAAAGUCUGAUCUAGCAACACCGCGUGUGCGAAGAAGGCCUUCGGGUCGUAAAGCACUUUUUGGAAGGAAUAGGAAGGAAUGUACUUCCAGAAUAAGUCUCGGCUAACUACGUGCCAGCAGCCGCGGUAACACGUAGGAGGCGAACGUUAUCCGGAUUUACUGGGCGUAAAGCGCGUGUAGGUGGUACUGUAAGUAGGGCGUGAAAGCUCCUGGCUCAACUGGGAGAGGCCGUUCUAAACUACAGAACUAGAGGAUGGUAGAGGGAGGUGGAAUUCCAGGUGUAGCGGUGGAAUGCGCAGAUAUCUGGAGGAACACCGGUGGCGAAGGCGGCCUCCUGGACCACUCCUGACACUCAGACGCGAAAGCUAGGGUAGCAAACGG
Molecule: ribosomal RNA, 403 nt
Filed under: uncultured bacterium
Lineage: Bacteria
Description: bacterial SSU rRNA
Rfam family: Bacterial small subunit ribosomal RNA
Source: RNAcentral